GCUUCGGUGGUGUAGUGGUAACACGAGUCCCCGGUGUGGAUGAAAUGAGGGUUUAACUCCUGUCCGAGGUU
This is a non-coding RNA of Parelaphostrongylus tenuis, 71 nucleotides long. Lineage: Eukaryota; Metazoa; Nematoda; Chromadorea; Rhabditida; Metastrongylidae. The record is from the annotation of a GenBank genome assembly.